Molecule: ribosomal RNA, 328 nt
Filed under: uncultured Lachnospiraceae bacterium
Lineage: Bacteria; Bacillati; Bacillota; Clostridia; Lachnospirales; Lachnospiraceae
Description: partial 16S ribosomal RNA
Source: RNAcentral
GGAGUUUGGGCCGUGUCUCAGUCCCAAUGUGGCCGUUCACCCUCUCAGGCCGGCUAUUGAUCGUCGCUUUGGUAAGCCGUUACCUCACCAACUGGCUAAUCAAACGCGGGUCCAUCUAUAAGCGAUAAAUCUUUUCUCACUCUCUCAUGCGAGACUGUAAGCUUAUAUUGUAUUAGCAGUGAUUUCUCACUGUUAUCCAAUUCUUAUAGGCAGGUUACCCACGCGUUACUCACCCAUCCGCCACUAGAAUGAUAAGAAUCCAACCGAAACCUUCAUCAAAUCAUUUCCGUUCGACUUGCAUGUGUUAGGCACGCCGCCAGCGUUCAUC